UAGCUCAGUGGUAGAGCACAACCUUGCCAAGGUUGGGGUCGCGAGUUCGAAUCUCGU
Molecule: transfer RNA, 57 nt
Filed under: Cobetia sp.
Lineage: Bacteria; Pseudomonadati; Pseudomonadota; Gammaproteobacteria; Oceanospirillales; Halomonadaceae
Description: tRNA-Gly
Rfam family: tRNA
About the family: Transfer RNA (tRNA) molecules are approximately 80 nucleotides in length. Their secondary structure includes four short double-helical elements and three loops (D, anti-codon, and T loops).
Source: RNAcentral